AGCUUACUGGAUCUGUUCUGACGCUAAAGGACGAAAGCGUGGGGAGCAAACGGGAUUAGAUACCCCGGUAGUCCACGCCCUAAACGAUGAACACUAGGUGUUGGAGGCUUCGACCCCUUCAGUGCCGUCGCAAACGCAUUAAGUGUUCCGCCUGGGUAGUACGAUCGCAAGAUUAAAACUCAAAGGAAUAGACGGGGACCCACACAAGCGGUGGAGCAUCUGGUUUAAUUCGACAAUAAGCGAGGAACCUUACCAAGACUUGACAUCCCGAGAAGAUCGCCGAAAGGUGAUUGUGCCGUUAGGAACUCGGUGACAGGUGCUGCAUGGUUGUCGUCAGCUCGUGCCUUGAGGUGUUCGGUUAAGUCCGUGAACGAGCGCAACCCUUGUCCUAAGUUGCAUUUUUCUUAGGAGACUGCCGGUUCUAAAUCGGAGGAAGGUAAGGAUGACGUCAAAUCAGCAUGGCCCUUAUGUCUUGGGCGACACAGGUGCUACAAUGGCCGGUACAAUGGGCAGCCAAGGGGUAACCCGGAGCUAAUCCCCAAAACCGGUCUAAGUUCGGAUUGAGGGCUGCAACUCGCCCUCAUGAAGCUGGAAUCGCCAGUAAACGCGUAUCAGCCAUGGCGCGUUGAAUAUGUUCCUGGGUCUUGUACUCACCGCCCGUCAGGGCACGGGAGUCGCUCUUGCUCGAAGUUCCCGAAUAAUUCGGGACCGAAAGUUAAGGGUGGCAACCAGGCUUAAGUCGUAACAAGGUAGCCGUAGA
Molecule: ribosomal RNA, 760 nt
Filed under: uncultured bacterium
Lineage: Bacteria
Description: bacterial SSU rRNA
Rfam family: Bacterial small subunit ribosomal RNA
Source: RNAcentral